AGUGAACGCUGGCGGUAGGCCUAACACAUGCAAGUCGAACGGCAGCACAGUAAGAGCUUGCUCUUACGGGUGGCGAGUGGCGGACGGGUGAGGAAUACAUCGGAAUCUACUUUUUCGUGGGGGAUAACGUAGGGAAACUUACGCUAAUACCGCAUACGACCUACGGGUGAAAGCAGGGAAUCUUCGGACCUUGCGCGAUUGAAUGAGCCGAUGUCGGAUUAGCUAGUUGGCGGGGUAAAGGCCCACCAAGGCGACGAUCCGUAGCUGGUCUGAGAGGAUGAUCAGCCACACUGGAACUGAGACACGGUCCAGACUCCUACGGGAGGCAGCAGUGGGGAAUAUUGGACAAAGGGCGCAAGCCUGAUCCAGCCAUACCGCGUGGGUGAAGAAGGCCUUCGGGUUGUAAAGCCCUCUUGUUGGGAAAGAAAAGCAGCAGGUUAAUACCCCGCUGUUCUGACGGUACCCAAAGAAUAAGCACCGGCUAACUUCGUG
RNAcentral lists this ribosomal RNA (492 nucleotides) under uncultured bacterium. Its description in RNAcentral is "partial 16S ribosomal RNA". It matches the Rfam family "Bacterial small subunit ribosomal RNA", at positions 29 to 507 of the family's 1533-position model. The record is from RNAcentral.